GGACCAAAGCUUAGUGAUUAGAGCAUCUGCUUUGAAUGCAGAAGGCCUCAGGUUCAAUCACUGGCAUCUCCA
Podarcis lilfordi (Lilford's wall lizard) is the source of this 72-nucleotide non-coding RNA. The record is from the annotation of a GenBank genome assembly. Lineage: Eukaryota; Metazoa; Chordata; Lepidosauria; Squamata; Lacertidae.